Molecule: ribosomal RNA, 411 nt
Filed under: Salinibacterium sp.
Lineage: Bacteria; Bacillati; Actinomycetota; Actinomycetes; Micrococcales; Microbacteriaceae
Description: bacterial SSU rRNA
Rfam family: Bacterial small subunit ribosomal RNA
Source: RNAcentral
CACAUGCAAGUCGAACGAUGAAGCCGGAGCUUGCUCUGGUGGAUUAGUGGCGAACGGGUGAGUAACACGUGAGUAACCUGCCCUUGACUCUGGGAUAAGCGUUGGAAACGACGUCUAAUACCGGAUACGAGCUAGGACCGCAUGGUCACUAGCUGGAAAGAACUUCGGUCAAGGAUGGACUCGCGGCCUAUCAGUUAGUUGGUGAGGUAACGGCUCACCAAGACGACGACGGGUAGCCGGCCUGAGAGGGUGACCGGCCACACUGGGACUGAGACACGGCCCAGACUCCUACGGGAGGCAGCAGUGGGGAAUAUUGCACAAUGGGCGAAAGCCUGAUGCAGCAACGCCGCGUGAGGGACGACGGCCUUCGGGUUGUAAACCUCUUUUAGCAGGGAAGAAGCGAAAGUGACG